AAUAAACCAGUCAUAGCCGAUCGGGGGCUCUCAUCUAUGAUCACUGAACACUCCAUGUCAAGAAUCAUAUAAAAUCGCCAAACAGGUCAUAUCACCAUGAUGAGGCCAUGGAUACCGGGAAAGCAGCAGAGAGUCAAAAGACUCUGAUGCCUUGGAAGGCAAGAGAAGAGAGACUUUCAAGAAGGAUAAAGUCACCAAUUGGAGUCAAGUGACACCAAGAGAUCAUCAGCAACAGGCUAAAGAAGAGCCAGAGGAGUUCUGUUCUCCAACGCCUUACAUCACUCUGCAGACAAUUGGCAGUCAGGAGAGGGGCAGCUGCCACACUCUUCAGAUAUCUCUCUAUUUAAAGUUCAAAGAGACACUGGAUGACAACAACAAAGAGGUGAGCGUGGCCCUGACCAACCCACCCAGCAACAGGAAGAAUGGCUGAAAAAGCUGCUUUAUCAAACCUUCUGGUCCCUAUUCUUCUCUUGAUUGCCUGGAUUGUGGGCUGUAUCAUAAUGGUUUAUGUUGUCUUCUCCUAGAAAGGCAAGAAGACUUCAGACUGACAUCAUUUAGAAGAACUAAGAAAAGCAUGAACGUGACAGAUUAUUAAACGUUUCUCAUGUAAAUAACUGCAAUGUUUGACAUCACUUUGUAAGCCUUUAUAAACUUGGAUUUGUAAACUGGUA
Molecule: RNA transcript, 671 nt
Organism: Canis lupus familiaris (dog)
Lineage: Eukaryota; Metazoa; Chordata; Mammalia; Carnivora; Canidae
Gene: STRIT1
Gene name: small transmembrane regulator of ion transport 1
Exons: 6
Source: RefSeq, a predicted model, not a curated record